CGGCGGACGGGUGAGUAACGCGUGGGCAACCUGCCUCAUACAGGGGGAUAACAGUUAGAAAUGACUGCUAAUACCGCAUAAGACCGCGGUACCGCAUGGUACAGCGGUAAAAACUCCGGUGGUAUGAGAUGGGCCCGCGUCUGAUUAGCUAGUUGGCGGGGUAACGGCCCACCAAGGCGACGAUCAGUAGCCGACCUGAGAGGGUGACCGGCCACAUUGGGACUGAGACACGGCCCAAACUCCUACGGGAGGCAGCAG
RNAcentral lists this ribosomal RNA (258 nucleotides) under uncultured bacterium. RNAcentral's name for it is "partial 16S ribosomal RNA". It matches the Rfam family "Bacterial small subunit ribosomal RNA", at positions 96 to 354 of the family's 1533-position model. The record is from RNAcentral.